AUUUCCGGUCACGGGGAACCCUCACUUCCGGUCACGGGGAACCCUCAUUUCAAAUUCCCAUGACAAGCGCCAUUUGAGGACAGAUAUGUCCCUUUACAGCCAGUGGCUCUGCAAAUCCAAUCAGAGGCCAUUGUGUUUAGCCCUGGGUCUUUUGCCUUUCGAGAAUGCGGUCCUCAGCAUGUCCCCUUUCAAACAUGGGCUAUUCUGGUGCUGUCUUCAGUUCUGCCGUGACUGGCAAGUGAUUACAGUGCUAUAUUUUAUGUGCCUGAGUUCACAGAGCAAAUUACAUAGCGUGAGUGGCUGGCGUGGUGAUUAGUGGCUGUGUGUGAAGACUAGAAUCGCUGUAUUUGCAUGUUUCUGAAUAAUGAGACUCUUAUCUCCAUUCUACCGCAAUGGGGUCGGAAUCAACAGCAUUAUUAACUAUUUCACAGAUCCGGGAAUUGAACUCGAAAUCUCAUACUUACACAUCAAGAGCUCUGACAAUGAAGCCAUCUCCCUCGUUGAGGUCAACUGGGUGAUAUGGUCUACUGUGGUCCAAAGGCUGAGGAGCAAGUUCAAGGUCAGCAUGGGCCACAGAAUGAGGGUCUAACUCAGCUUCUCCCUCUCCCCACCCAAAAAGGACAAGAAAAAGAUUAAAUUCUGUAAAAUCCCCUCUGAUCUCUGAAUAAGAUACAAGUUUUCCCCCUGUAAAGAUCCAAUGGCUUCUCAAAUAAAACUUUAUUUUACUUUU
Long non-coding RNA from Rattus norvegicus (Norway rat), 730 nucleotides. RefSeq lists it as uncharacterized. NCBI's taxonomy places the organism in Eukaryota, Metazoa, Chordata, Mammalia, Rodentia, Muridae. The record is from RefSeq and is a predicted model, not a curated record.